RNAcentral lists this ribosomal RNA (450 nucleotides) under uncultured bacterium. RNAcentral's name for it is "partial 16S ribosomal RNA". It matches the Rfam family "Bacterial small subunit ribosomal RNA", at positions 354 to 796 of the family's 1533-position model. The record is from RNAcentral.
GUGGGGAAUAUUGGACAAUGGGCGAAAGCCUGAUCCAGCCAUGCCGCGUGUGUGAAGAAGGUCUUCGGAUUGUAAAGCACUUUAAGUUGGGAGGAAGGGCAGUAAGUUAAUACCUUGCUGUUUUGACGUUACCGACAGAAUAAGCACCGGCUAACUUCGUGCCAGCAGCCGCGGUAAUACGAAGGGUGCAAGCGUUAAUCGGAAUUACUGGGCGUAAAGCGCGCGUAGGUGGUUUUGUAAGUUGGAGGUGAAAUCCCCGGGCUCAACCUAGGAACUGCCUCCAAAACUGCAUGACUAGAGUACGGUAGAGGGUAGUGGAAUUUCCUGUGUAGCGGUGAAAUGCGUAGAUAUAGGAAGGAACACCAGUGGCGAAGGCGACUACCUGGACUGAUACUGACACUGAGGUGCGAAAGCGUGGGGAGCAAACAGGAUUAGAUACCCUAGUAGUCC